CAAGUCAGGUGCUGCAGUCUGGUUGCCAAAUUUACGCAUGGAGACAUCACUGUCAUACACUGCUCCAAGGAGGGGAGAGCUAGGGCAUGAGGGAGAGAGAUUUAUCUCUGAAUUGUAGAGAACUCCAGUGUACCACAAUGCCCCAAAGACAUGUGCCUGG
Molecule: long non-coding RNA, 160 nt
Organism: Mauremys reevesii (Reeves's turtle)
Lineage: Eukaryota; Metazoa; Chordata; Testudines; Geoemydidae
Exons: 3
Source: RefSeq, a predicted model, not a curated record